Dipodomys ordii (Ord's kangaroo rat) is the source of this 357-nucleotide non-coding RNA. Lineage: Eukaryota; Metazoa; Chordata; Mammalia; Rodentia; Heteromyidae. The record is from Rfam.
GGAUGUAAGGUCUAUCUGGCUGUGACAUCUGUCACCCCAUUGAUUGAUUCAGCCAGGGUUGAUUCGGCUGAUCUGGCUGGCUAGGCGGGUGUCCCCUUCCUCCCUCACCGCUCCAUGUGCGUCCCUCCCGAAGCUGCGUGCUUGGUCGAAGAGGAUGACCAUCCCUGAUAGAGGAGGACCAGUCUUAGGUCAAGGAUAUACGAGUAACUGCGCUCCCCUGCUAGAACCUCCAAACAAGCUCUCAAGAAGCACAGGGACAGUGCUCAGGCCCUGAGUUCAAGCCCCAGGACUGGCAAAAAUGGGGGGAGGUAAAACAACAAAACCCUCUUAUUUCCAUUUCUUGGAGUUCAUUUCGAU